This 228-nucleotide long non-coding RNA is filed under the name Helianthus annuus (common sunflower). RNAcentral describes it as "sRNA HanXRQr2_Chr10g0454921". Lineage: Eukaryota; Viridiplantae; Streptophyta; Magnoliopsida; Asterales; Asteraceae. The record is from RNAcentral.
UUUGUCUCAUAAUUGCAACACAUCAACCCUAAUUAUUCAUCACACAACGGCAGUAGCAAGACCCCUGUUUCUGUUUCGGUUUACAUCACAACUAGUCGGAUUUCUGGGUAAAUGUUAGGCGUUUAUGAACAGACAGUUAAGCGAGUAAAUAAUCUUACCGAGCAAAACCAAGGUCCAGGUAUCUUGGAUUUGGGAACUUGCUGUCUGGAAUAGCUGGAGUGGUCAUGG